Molecule: ribosomal RNA, 254 nt
Filed under: uncultured bacterium
Lineage: Bacteria
Description: partial 16S ribosomal RNA
Rfam family: Bacterial small subunit ribosomal RNA
Source: RNAcentral
UACGUAGGGGGCAAGCGUUGUCCGGAUUUAUUGGGCGUAAAGCGCUCGCAGGCGGCUCGAUGCGUCGUGCGUGAAACACCCCGGCUCAACUGGGGAGGGUCGUGCGAUACGGUCGGGCUGGAGGCCAGUAGGGGGAUGCGGAAUUCCGGGUGUAGCGGUGAAAUGCGCAGAUAUCAGGAGGAACACCGGUGGCGAAGGCGGGUCUCUGGGCAGUAACUGACGCUGAGGAGCGAAAGCGUGGGGGAGCGAACAGG